GUACAGUGCCUGGCGUGUGGUAAGCGCUUAACAAAUACCACAAUGAUUAUUAUUACUAUUAUUCGGUACUACCUCAGUACUCAUGGAUAGGCAGGCAAUCCUUGAACAUGCAGAUGCAAUGCAUUCCUGAAAACGGCUUCUUCAGUUGAAACAUUGUAAGUCACUGAGCCAGUUUUCUCAUAGGAACCAUGUUAUAAGUGGAGGGGUUAGUUCCGGAACCAAGGUUGGAUUCCCUGCAUUUAUCAAAAUUAUCCAGAAUUAUGUAUUCAAUUAUGGAUUAGUAAUGUUGCUACAUUCAUGCAUUUUCAUCGAGUCGGAGAGUUUCCAUGAUAGGGGAGCCAAUUUUUACUUCGUCAACAGUAAAAUGGACAUGACGGCCCUCCCUGGCGACUCCACCUGGCCAUCAGGACCCACCACAGUCACGGGGACCAGACUGGACCAACAAGGGUGCAGGGGAAGGACGUGGAGCUGCAAGCAGAGAAGAGGGGAAAGGGGGAAAGCCCCCUCCCAGGCCUCCUACAAGGGCUGAUCUGGCCCAGUUCUAAGGCUCUGUGACAGUCUGGGUUGGGGUAGCUACAGUCAGGGAAGGAGCCAGCCCGAGCACGAAACAAGCACGUAUUUGGCUGUUAAAAAAAAAAAUUGAAUAAAAGCAUGACCUAG
This is a long non-coding RNA of Ornithorhynchus anatinus (platypus), 660 nucleotides long. RefSeq lists it as uncharacterized. The transcript is spliced from 2 exons. NCBI's taxonomy places the organism in Eukaryota, Metazoa, Chordata, Mammalia, Monotremata, Ornithorhynchidae. The record is from RefSeq and is a predicted model, not a curated record.